Molecule: unclassified non-coding RNA, 302 nt
Filed under: Hevea brasiliensis (rubber tree)
Lineage: Eukaryota; Viridiplantae; Streptophyta; Magnoliopsida; Malpighiales; Euphorbiaceae
Source: RNAcentral
UUCUUCUUCUUCUACUUCUUCUUCUUUUAAAAUUAUUUUUCUCCAGAUAGAUUUGUUCAUAACCUACGACCACUUGUUAGAAAUCUCAAGUUUCCACUAUAUCCGAAUAACGUUUGGAUGUUAUUUAUUUUAUAUUUUAUAUUAAUUCUAAUUUGUUCUUGGUGUUAUUUACUAUUUUGUGGCAUUGCCUUACUGCUUUUCUUAUGUUCUUUUAACAGCCUUGUCUUGUUGGUAUCCUCAUAUAUAUCAUUUUUUUUCUUUAAAAAAAAUUCAAGCAGGAAUCUUAAAUUGGAUUACCUUGA